UGCCUAGUGGCGGACGGGUGAGUAACGCGUGGGUAACCUGCCUUACACAGGGGGAUAACACUUAGAAAUAGGUGCUAAUACCGCAUAAGCGCACAGGGCCGCAUGGCCCGGUGUGAAAAACUCCGGUGGUGUAAGAUGGACCCGCGUCUGAUUAGCUUGUUGGCGGGGUAGGGGCCCACCAAGGCGACGAUCAGUAGCCGGCCUGAGAGGGUGGACGGCCACAUUGGGACUGAGACACGGCCCAAACUCCUACGGGAGGCAGCAG
This 265-nucleotide ribosomal RNA is filed under the name uncultured bacterium. RNAcentral's name for it is "partial 16S ribosomal RNA". It matches the Rfam family "Bacterial small subunit ribosomal RNA", at positions 89 to 354 of the family's 1533-position model. The record is from RNAcentral.